This 604-nucleotide ribosomal RNA is filed under the name uncultured bacterium. RNAcentral's name for it is "bacterial SSU rRNA". It matches the Rfam family "Bacterial small subunit ribosomal RNA", at positions 84 to 723 of the family's 1533-position model. The record is from RNAcentral.
UUCGGUGAGGAGCGGCAGACGGGUGAGUAACGCGUGGGAACAUACCUAAUAGUACGGAAUAACGAUUGGAAACGAUCGCUAAUACCGUAUACGCCCUUCGGGGGAAAGAUUUAUCGCUAUUAGAUUGGCCCGCGUUGGAUUAGCUAGUUGGUGAGGUAACGGCUCACCAAGGCGACGAUCUAUAGCUGGUCUGAGAGGAUGAUCAGCCACACUGGGACUGAGACACGGCCCAGACUCCUACGGGAGGCAGCAGUGGGGAAUAUUGGACAAUGGGCGCAAGCCUGAUCCAGCCAUGCCGCGUGAGUGAUGAAGGCCUUAGGGUUGUAAAGCUCUUUCGCUAGGGAAGAUAAUGACGGUACCUAGUAAAGAAGCCCCGGCUAACUUCGUGCCAGCAGCCGCGGUAAUACGAAGGGGGCUAACGUUGUUCGGAUUUACUGGGCGUAAAGCGUACGUAGGCGGAUUAGUAAGUUAGGGGUGAAAUCCCGAGGCUCAACCUCGGAACUGCCUUUAAUACUGCUAAUCUAGAGAUCGGGAGAGGUGUAUGGAACUCCUAGUGUAGAGGUGGAAUUCGUAGAUAUUAGGAAGAACACCAGUGGCGAAGGCG